RNAcentral lists this long non-coding RNA (215 nucleotides) under Lathyrus oleraceus (garden pea). RNAcentral's name for it is "Pisum sativum (pea) long non-coding RNA (PSAT_LNC007182)". Lineage: Eukaryota; Viridiplantae; Streptophyta; Magnoliopsida; Fabales; Fabaceae. The record is from RNAcentral.
UUGUUGUUGACGUUGUUGUUGUUGAAUUGAUGUUGCUUGCUUAUUCGAAAAUAUAGGAAUGACUGAAGGUACUUGAUGAUGGUGUCGACAGGAUGGUUGAUUCCUUUUGAUCUGAGGCCUUCUCUGCCUCCCACUAGAAAUUGCAUUAGCUUCGCUAUCUUUCUUCUUCCCAAAACUGCUGCCAUAUCUCUUACUUGACGAUCCUUACUCCUUUG